This is a long non-coding RNA of Fundulus heteroclitus (mummichog), 271 nucleotides long. RefSeq lists it as uncharacterized. NCBI's taxonomy places the organism in Eukaryota, Metazoa, Chordata, Actinopteri, Cyprinodontiformes, Fundulidae. The record is from RefSeq and is a predicted model, not a curated record. The transcript has 3 exons.
CAGAACUUCUGCAGAUGUCAGCCAGGGGAGCUGAUGAAGAAGUCUGUAGAGGCUGAACAGAAAAGUCUCACCUGAGUCAAAGGGCCUGGGAACAAUAUGCUUCCUCCUGCUGUGACUGACAGCUCAUGGCCUCAAGGCAGCCGGCUCCGCCUCCAGAAUGUGAUCCACUCCCUUCAGCCACCACUCAUCGUCCAAUCAGCUCAGCCCCUUAUCAGCCACCACUCUGCACCUUAUCUGUUCCAGCUGUUGCAAUCAGUUAGUGCCAACUCUG